UUUCUUAUUGAUGUUAAUGGUUAAAUUCAGACUUGAUAACUAAAGAUGGUUUCUCCUAAUUUUUUUAUGUGCAAAUCGGAGAUGGUUUGAAGAAUGAUGAAGGAUACUCAAUAUUGCUUAAGGUUUUCUUUCUAUCAUCAGCACCACAAUCCAUAAGUGAAGACCGAGAGAAUGAUCAAUGGUUUGAACUAUGAAUUAUGUAAUUCGGACUUUGGGAAUAUAUUAGGGUUUAUAUA
Camelina sativa (false flax) is the source of this 236-nucleotide non-coding RNA. The record is from RefSeq and is a predicted model, not a curated record. Lineage: Eukaryota; Viridiplantae; Streptophyta; Magnoliopsida; Brassicales; Brassicaceae.